AUGGUCACCAAUGUUUACAACCCCUGUGAUCACGCAGCCAAGCCGGGCUUUCUCCAAUCGCUUGUCAACCUAAAACCAUGGAUCUCCUGCCCUUGGUUGAUCAUAGGCGACUUCAACAUUUCGCUUAGGCCUUCUGAUAAGAACUCUCCUCACUUUAACAUGCUAGAAGCAAACCUUUUUUCCUCCACCAUCCACUCCCUCCAGAUGUAAGACCUCCCUCUGCUUGAUAGGCGGUUCACUUGGUCAAACCAGCAGAAUGUAUCCUGGUUCGCUUAG
RNAcentral lists this ribosomal RNA (276 nucleotides) under Triticum aestivum (bread wheat). RNAcentral describes it as "partial small subunit ribosomal RNA". Lineage: Eukaryota; Viridiplantae; Streptophyta; Magnoliopsida; Poales; Poaceae. The record is from RNAcentral.